This 550-nucleotide ribosomal RNA is filed under the name uncultured bacterium. RNAcentral's name for it is "bacterial LSU rRNA". It matches the Rfam family "Bacterial large subunit ribosomal RNA", at positions 195 to 801 of the family's 2925-position model. The record is from RNAcentral.
GAAACAUCUAAGUACCCGGAGGAAAGGAAAUCAAUAGAGACUCCGUCAGUAGCGGCGAGCGAACGCGGACCAGCCGAGCCUGGAAGUGUGACUGGAACUGUCUGGAAAGGCAGGCCAUAGCGGGUGACAGCCCCGUACAGGAAGCACCACGGGACAUAUUAAGUAGGGCGGGACACGUGAAAUCCUGUCUGAAGAUCGGGGGACCACCCCCGAAGGCUAAGUACUCCUUGCUGACCGAUAGCGAACCAGUACCGUGAGGGAAAGGUGAAAAGCACCCCGACAAGGGGAGUGAAACAGUACCUGAAACCGGACGCCUACAAGCAGUCGGAGGGGCCAUGAGCCCUGACGGCGUACCUUUUGUAUAAUGGGUCAACGACUUGGUCUAACGAGCGAGCUUAAGCCGAUAGGUGUAGGCGCAGCGAAAGCGAGUCUUAAAAGGGCGCAUGAGUUCGUUGGAUCAGACCCGAAACCAGAUGAUCUAGCCAUGAGCAGGAUGAAGGUUGGGUAACACCAACUGGAGGUCCGAACCAACACCCGUUGAAAAGGGUCU